AUUGAACGCUGGCGGCAGGCCUAACACAUGCAAGUCGAACGGUAACAGGAAACAGCUUGCUGUUUCGCUGACGAGUGGCGGACGGGUGAGUAAUGUCUGGGAAACUGCCUGAUGGAGGGGGAUAACUACUGGAAACGGUAGCUAAUACCGCAUAACGUCGCAAGACCAAAGAGGGGGACCCUCGGGCCUCUUGCCAUCGGAUGUGCCCAGAUGGGAUUAGCUUGUUGGUGGGGUAACGGCUCACCAAGGCGACGAUCCCUAGCUGGUCUGAGAGGAUGACCAGCCACACUGGAACUGAGACACGGUCCAGACUCCUACGGGAGGCAGCAGUGGGGAAUAUUGCACAAUGGGCGCAUGCCUGAUGCAGCCAUGCCGCGUGUAUGAAGAAGGCCUUCGGGUUGUAAAGUACUUUCAGCGGGGAGGAAGGGAGUAAAGUUAAUACCUUUGCUCAUUGACGUUACCCGCAGAAGAAGCACCGGCUAACUCCGUG
This 490-nucleotide ribosomal RNA is filed under the name uncultured bacterium. Its description in RNAcentral is "partial 16S ribosomal RNA". It matches the Rfam family "Bacterial small subunit ribosomal RNA", at positions 30 to 507 of the family's 1533-position model. The record is from RNAcentral.